Molecule: ribosomal RNA, 652 nt
Filed under: Streptomyces sporangiiformans
Lineage: Bacteria; Bacillati; Actinomycetota; Actinomycetes; Kitasatosporales; Streptomycetaceae
Description: Streptomyces sp. NEAU-SSA 1 partial 23S ribosomal RNA
Rfam family: Bacterial large subunit ribosomal RNA
Source: RNAcentral
ACAGUGGACGCGAGCAUCUGUGGCCAAGUUUUUAAGGGCGCACGGUGGAUGCCUUGGUACCAGGAACCGAUGAAGGACGUGGGAGGCCACGAUAGUCCCCGGGGAGUCGUCAACCAGGCUUUGAUCCGGGGGUUUCCGAAUGGGGAAACCCGGCAGUCGUCAUGGGCUGUCACCCACAUCUGAACACAUAGGGUGUGUGGAGGGAACGCGGGGAAGUGAAACAUCUCAGUACCCGCAGGAAGAGAAAACAACCGUGAUUCCGGGAGUAGUGGCGAGCGAAACCGGAUGAGGCCAAACCGUAUGCGUGUGAGACCCGGCAGGGGUUGCGCAUACGGGGUUGUGGGAUCUCUCUUCUGUCGUCUGCCGGCGACAGGACGAGUGAGAAACCGUUGAUGUAGGCGAAGGACAUGCGAAAGGUCCGGCGUAGAGGGUAAGACCCCCGUAGUCGAAACGUCAGCGGCUCGUUUGAGAGACACCCAAGUAGCACGGGGCCCGAGAAAUCCCGUGUGAAUCUGGCGGGACCACCCGCUAAGCCUAAAUAUUCCCUGGUGACCGAUAGCGGAUAGUACCGUGAGGGAAUGGUGAAAAGUACCGCGGGAGCGGAGUGAAAUAGUACCUGAAACCGUGUGCCUACAAGCCGUGGGAGCGUCGC